UUUCGUGGUUUAAAUAUUUUGGUCCUUAAACUUUAUAUGUGAUGUCCCAAUAGUUUCACGUUAGAUAAGUAAAAAAUUGUGAAUAUAAAUAUAAAGAUUAAGGACUCCAAUACAAAUAAUUAUGAUUAAGCAUUUUUAGACUGAUAGUUUGUGCCCAAUAAAUUAUUAGUGUUAGUGGACUGGAUUGUUACAUUUGGUAUCAAAGUUGAUUUACCAGUCGAAAGUGCUGGAAGGAUAGAAAAUAUGAGUCGGAAUUGUGAGAUCGGUCUCAUGUUAUCAAAUCAUGUGAGAGCCGAUAGUUUGUACCCAACGAGUUUUUAAGCUUGUAAUUUGUACCCAACGAGUUAUUAGUGCUAGUACAUUUGAUCGUUAUAUUUAGUAUCAGAGCUGAUUUACUAAUCGAAAAUGCUAGAUGGAUAAAAAAUGUGAGUCGGAAUUAUGAGAUGGGUCUCACAUCAUCUGAUGAUGAUCUGGAAUAGGAAAUUGGGGACGUGACUAGGUUGUAAGAGCCGAGAAUGUCACGGUCUAAAUAAAAAAAAAAAAAAUGUGACAUCUCAAAAGUACUACAUCGAAUCGGUAAAAACUGUGAAUUAAUUUAAAUAUAAAUAAUAAAGGCUAUAAUAUUAGUAACUAGACUUAAAUAUUUUAGACUGGCGAGCCAAAUGUAGAGUUAGUAUGCUAUUGAAAAUAUAGAGAAUUUAAUACUUCUGUCUUUUGAAUUAUUGGAUUAAGAAUUAUACGGUUGGGAUGAUAGCGGUCCCCCCUAGUGUUGAGUGGUCCCCACAGGAUAAUAGUAUUAAUCUCUAUACUUCCGAUAGUAUAGUAGCUCUACUCGGUGGGCCGGUAGUUUAAAUGUAACAAAUUAUUAGUG
Molecule: long non-coding RNA, 871 nt
Filed under: Ananas comosus (pineapple)
Lineage: Eukaryota; Viridiplantae; Streptophyta; Magnoliopsida; Poales; Bromeliaceae
Description: long non-coding RNA (ACOM_LNC041703)
Source: RNAcentral